This 490-nucleotide ribosomal RNA is filed under the name uncultured bacterium. RNAcentral describes it as "partial 16S ribosomal RNA". It matches the Rfam family "Bacterial small subunit ribosomal RNA", at positions 30 to 507 of the family's 1533-position model. The record is from RNAcentral.
AUUGAACGCUGGCGGCAGGCCUAACACAUGCAAGUCGAACGGUAACAGGAAACAGCUUGCUGUUUCGCUGACGAGUGGCGGACGGGUGAGUAAUGUCUGGGAAACUGCCUGAUGGAGGGGGAUAACUACUGGAAGCGGUAGCUAAUACCGCAUAACGUCGCAAGACCAAAGAGGGGGACCCUCGGGCCUCUUGCCAUCGGAUGUGCCCAGAUGGGAUUAGCUUGUUGGUGGGGUAACGGCUCACCAAGGCGACGAUCCCUAGCUGGUCUGAGAGGAUGACCAGCCACACUGGAACUGAGACACGGUCCAGACUCCUACGGGAGGCAGCAGUGGGGAAUAUUGCACAAUGGGCGCAAGCCUGAUGCAGCCAUGCCGCGUGUAUGAAGAAGGCCUUCGGGUUGUAAAGUACUUUCAGCGGGGAGGAAGGGAGUAAAGUUAAUACCUUUGCUCAUUGACGUUACCCGCAGAAGAAGCACCGGCUAACUCCGUG